GAGAAAACUCACAAGGACUGCUAACCCACGUCUCCGUACUUAAAACUACGAUUUUCUCA
RNAcentral lists this transfer RNA (59 nucleotides) under Macaca fascicularis aureus. Its description in RNAcentral is "tRNA-Ser". Lineage: Eukaryota; Metazoa; Chordata; Mammalia; Primates; Cercopithecidae. The record is from RNAcentral.